UUCUUUAAGAAAAUAAAUUAAAGUACAUCCUGCUCAAUGAUCAAAACUUAAAUAGCCGCAGAUUACUGUGCUAAGGUAGCAUAAUAACUUGCUUUCUAAUUAAAAGAUAGAAUGAAAGGCCAAACAUUUAAAAUUUGUCUCUAAACACAAAAAUAAACUUAAGAAAAAAGUCAAAACUCUUUUAUAAUUAGCGGGACGACAAGACCCUGACAAACUCAACAAUUAGUUGGGGAAACACAAUAAUAAUUAUUUAACUAACUUAAAAACAAAACUUAACAAAAAAUAAAGAAAAGUUACUGCAGGGAUAACAGCGUUAUUUCUUUUAAGAGACCCUAUCAAAAAAGAAGAUUACGACCUCGAUGUUGAAUUAAUUAUCCUACUUAAUGCAAUAAUUAAAAUAUUAGGUAGUCUGUUCGACUAUUAAAAAAUU
Molecule: ribosomal RNA, 430 nt
Filed under: Pholcus kribi
Lineage: Eukaryota; Metazoa; Arthropoda; Arachnida; Araneae; Pholcidae
Description: partial 16S ribosomal RNA
Source: RNAcentral